This 532-nucleotide ribosomal RNA is filed under the name Chimerella mariaelenae. RNAcentral describes it as "partial 16S ribosomal RNA". The stretch from base 168 to 532 matches the Rfam family "Bacterial large subunit ribosomal RNA", at positions 568 to 1082 of the family's 2925-position model. Lineage: Eukaryota; Metazoa; Chordata; Amphibia; Anura; Centrolenidae. The record is from RNAcentral.
GCUAAAAAUUUAGCCCCAACCACCCAAAUGCCACACAAAAAUCCCACCACACCAACUAAAACAUUCCCACAUUUUAGUAAAGGCGAUUGAAAAAUUUCUUGGAGCUACAUAACACAGUACCGCAAGGGAAAAAUGAAAUAAAAAUGAAACAACUAUCAAGCAUAAAAAAGUAGAGAUAAACCCUCGUACCUUUUGCAUCAUGGUUUAACUAGUUCAAUCAAGCAAAAUGAUUUAAAGUUUGACUUCCCGAAACUAGACGAGCUACUUCAAGGCAGCUUAAUGAGCAAACCCGUCUCUGUUGCAAAAGAGUGGGAAGACCUUCAAGUAGGGGUGACAGACCUAACGAGCCUAGUGAUAGCUGGUUACUCAAGAAAAGAAUUUAAGUUCAACCUAAAAUUAACCCAAUAUCGUAAAAUACAACCCUAAUUUUAGAGCAAUUCAAAUAAGGUACAGCCUAUUUGAAAAAGGACACAACCUCAACCACCGGGUAAUUUAAACCAACGCCUAACAAAGUGGGCCUAAGAGCAGCCAU